CUUGACACACAUAAGAGGUCCAGCCUGCCCAGUGACUAAGUUCAACGGCCGCGGUAUCCUAACCGUGCGAAGGUAGCGUAAUCACUUGUUCUUUAAAUGAGGACUAGUAUGAAUGGCACCACGAGGGUUAUACUGUCUCCUUUUUUUAAUCAAUGAAACUGAUCUCCCCGUGAAGAAGCGGGGAUAAAUUUAUAAGACGAGAAGACCCUAUGGAGCUUUAAACAAUUAUAGCACUGGCCCACACCUCUUAUUCUUCUGAGAUAUAAUUAUUAUACAGGCCAACAUGACUAUUAGUUUUAGGUUGGGGUGACCGCGGAGCAAAAAUUAACCUCCACGUUGAACGGAGCUACUCCUGAGCUAAAAACUACAACUUUAAGCACCAAUAAACUGACAUCAAUUGACCCAAUAUAUUGAACAACGAAC
Molecule: ribosomal RNA, 423 nt
Filed under: Dendropsophus cf. mathiassoni ABGD cluster 82
Lineage: Eukaryota; Metazoa; Chordata; Amphibia; Anura; Hylidae
Description: partial large subunit ribosomal RNA
Rfam family: Bacterial large subunit ribosomal RNA
Source: RNAcentral